This 487-nucleotide long non-coding RNA is filed under the name Homo sapiens (human). RNAcentral describes it as "HSALNT0349070". The record is from RNAcentral. Lineage: Eukaryota; Metazoa; Chordata; Mammalia; Primates; Hominidae.
UCCAGGCCUAGGAUUCAGUGAUUCAUGAAAUCAUGAAGCAAGGUGGGAGGACCCAGUUUGUCCUUUACUUACAUUUAUGCUCUCAUCUUUUAAAGGAGCCACAAAAAUGAGACUGCUUCCUGUAAAUAUAAUAUGUUAAUAUUUUUUUCUACAACUGAGACAUAAUCCAAGUACUUUCUAAGAAGAGAGAGAGUCUGCUGUUCUCUUACCUUUCUUCUCAGACUUGAAUAAGCCGACUGAGGAAAAUAGAGUAGAAAGAAGAACCUGUCAGCAUAUUGUCAGCACAGGAGAAAAAGCACACAAUCCAACUGAAGAGUGAAAGAUGCAGACUUCAGGACAUCAAAGCUUCAGUGAGAAACAUAAUAGUAUAGAUUUGAGGUCCCCUAGCUCCUGAGGAAACAAAAAUGAUUAAUGGAAUUACUGUGGUCUGUGAUCAGUGAAGAUGUCUAUUGAGAAAAAUAAUCAGGAUUGGCACCACAACAUCAGA